AAACCGUGGUUGGGUCAUUUUCUCAAUAACAUCUAGAAACACUCUCAGACUUCACAAAAUGAUUCUUCUACACCUUGUCGAAAAGUUGAUGUCUCAUAUUUGGCAU
This is a small nucleolar RNA of Lupinus angustifolius (narrow-leaved blue lupine), 106 nucleotides long. It matches the Rfam family "Plant small nucleolar RNA R71". Rfam says of the family: R71 is a member of the C/D box family of snoRNAs containing the C (UGAUGA) and D (CUGA) box motifs. Multiple nearly identical copies of this snoRNA have been identified in Arabidopsis, and it is thought to function as a 2'-O-ribose methylation guide for 18S ribosomal RNA. The record is from Rfam. Lineage: Eukaryota; Viridiplantae; Streptophyta; Magnoliopsida; Fabales; Fabaceae.